Molecule: ribosomal RNA, 253 nt
Filed under: uncultured bacterium
Lineage: Bacteria
Description: partial 16S ribosomal RNA
Rfam family: Bacterial small subunit ribosomal RNA
Source: RNAcentral
UACGUGGGUGGCAAGCGUUGUCCGGAAUUACUGGGUGUAAAGGGAGCGCAGGCGGGAAGCCAAGUCAGCUGUGAAAACUACGGGCUUAACUUGUAGACUGCAGUUGAAACUGGUUUUCUUGAGUGAAGUAGAGGUUGGCGGAAUUCCGAGUGUAGCGGUGAAAUGCGUAGAUAUUCGGAGGAACACCGGUGGCGAAGGCGGCCAACUGGGCUUUAACUGACGCUGAGGCUCGAAAGUGUGGGGAGCAAACAGG